ACUACGGGUGAAACCCAAAGAGUUCAGCCACA
This 32-nucleotide non-coding RNA is filed under the name Homo sapiens (human). Lineage: Eukaryota; Metazoa; Chordata; Mammalia; Primates; Hominidae. The record is from RNAcentral.